CAAUAGCGUAUAUUAAAGUUGUUGCGGUUAAAAAGCUCGUAGUUGGAGUUCUGCCAGGUGCCGCCUGUCCGCCCCAGUGGUGAGUACGUGGCGCGCAUUUGGCCCUUUCAAGGGGAGCGUAUCUGCACUUUAUUGUGUGGUGCGGGAUCCUUGACUUUUACUUUGAGGAAAUAGGAGUGUUCCAAGCAGGCUCUCGUCGUGCACAGCUCAGCAUGGAAUAAUAGCAUUGGACCUCGAUUCUAAGCUGUUGGUUGCCAGAAGCGAGGUAAUGAUGAAGAGGGAUAGUUGGGGGCAUUCGUAUUUAACUGUCAGAGGUGAAAUUCUUGGAUUUACGGAAGACGAACUACUGCGAAAGCAUUUACCAAGGAUGUUUUCAUUAA
Molecule: ribosomal RNA, 380 nt
Filed under: uncultured eukaryote
Lineage: Eukaryota
Description: partial 18S ribosomal RNA
Rfam family: Eukaryotic small subunit ribosomal RNA
Source: RNAcentral